Molecule: ribosomal RNA, 150 nt
Organism: Protopterus annectens (West African lungfish)
Lineage: Eukaryota; Metazoa; Chordata; Ceratodontiformes; Protopteridae
Product: 5.8S ribosomal RNA
Exons: 1
Source: RefSeq, a predicted model, not a curated record
AACUCUUAGCGGUGGAUCACUCAACUCGUGCUUGAUGAACACAGCUAGCUGUGAGAACUAAUGUGAAUUGCAGGACACAUUGAUUAUCGACACUUCAAAUGCAGUUUGUGGCCCUGGGCUACUCCUGGGGCUAUGCCUGUCUGAGGGUCA